This is a long non-coding RNA of Anguilla rostrata (American eel), 1505 nucleotides long. RefSeq lists it as uncharacterized. Lineage: Eukaryota; Metazoa; Chordata; Actinopteri; Anguilliformes; Anguillidae. The transcript is spliced from 3 exons. The record is from RefSeq and is a predicted model, not a curated record.
UCAUACACUACUACAGAGAGAGAGAGAGAGAGAGAGAGAGAGAGAGAGAGAGAGAGUCAGAGGGGCGAAAUACAGAGAUAGCAGUAGGAAUAACAAGAAUCAGAGACUCAUAACUAGCGUUUGAAGUGGAAGACAAAUUCGACCCUAACAACCCCGGUUUUGUCUGAACAGCAAUCUGGGAAAGGUCCACCACUGCAGGUGAAACUUAGAAAUUCAGUUGGCCUUCCUGGGAAAAAAAAGGGGCGAGCAUGGCUGACUGAAACUGGUAUGAUGGAUCGCUUUCAUUUGCUGUAUCUGAAGACCAGUGAAUCAGAGCUGUUCCAGCGGCGUUUUUCACAAGCACCUUCACAACCACCAUGAGUCGACUGGAACAGAACAUGGCGCCCCCUGCAGGCGAGUCUCACAGUCACAGUGUUCACUGACGAUGCCCAAAACCCAGAGCAAAUGCCCAAGUGAGCCUCAGCAGCCAGACAGGCAGAUCAAAACAGACUCCGAAGAAACUCUCCGGAGGCUCUUAACUCGCUCUCCAGGAAACGCAUUUUCAGAUUCAGCGAAUGCCACCCCAAAAGGGUGGUGGCAGUCACUGGUCCGCUUCCCUCGGGGCAGCUGGCUGACGUGUUGUUUAUUUGGCACACGCCUCCUCUUGGUACUCAAAAACUUCCUUUCAUUUCGCAAUUGAGGUCCCCGGGCAACAUUUUCUCCCUCGCGAGUCGUCAUAGCGGCAGAAUUUGUCCAGUACACUCCAGAAUUAUGAUCGCCUUAAGAUUGCCAGUUUUUUUUUUCUAAGAUACUCAGCUUUGAUUCCAUUUCACUAGUGAAGCCUAAACGACAUCUUAGAAUGACAACAUUUUAGAAUGACAACAACAUUGUUAAAGAUUUGAUUCGUUUUGAAUCACCACCUUCUCACUGACACUGUGAUUUGUUGGAAACAUAUGGGUUAUACAUAGGCAAUAUAUAUACAGAUAUUUGUCUCUCUGAAUUUCCCAACCAGGCAUACAGCGGAGAGUUAUAGCAUUGGCAAAUAAGGCUACAUGCCACAUUAUUCAAGCACAUUUCAGUGUGUCCUUACUGUUAUUUUCCUGCAGGAGCAGCAAGAGCUGCAGCAAUAUCCAAUAUCCAUGAAAUUUAUUUAGCCAUUCAGAAAAAGUUGCUUUUCCUCCUCAUUCAAUACCACAGUCUAUUGACUGUUGGUUUCUCAGGAGCAGUAUGUAUUUUUCUACUUGUGCAAGUCUUGCGAUAAUCCCCUCCAAUUCUUAAAUGGUGUCGUAUAGUGUUGUGUGUUCAGUCAUUUAUAUUCAGGAAGUCCAGCUUCUCAGAUUCUCAAUUUCAGAGUGCCUCCACUGUCUGCAAACUCAAUCAUAUUCUGAUUGGUUGACCCAAUUUGCUGCACUUUCCAAUGGCGAUUUUCCAGUACUUUCUCUGCAUCCCCUCACACCCCCACCCCCCGACAUACACACACACACACACACACACGUGCACACACACACACACAUACACACAUGCAC